CAGCCGCCGCGGGAAUACGUAGGGUGCAAGCGUUAAUCGGAAUUACUGGGCGUAAAGCGUGCGCAGGCGGUUUUGUAAGACAGAUGUAAAAUCCCCGGGCUCAACCUGGGAACUGCAUUUGUGACUGUAUAGCUAGAGUACGGCAGAGGGGGAUGGAAUUCCGCGUGUAGCAGUGAAAUGCGUAGAUAUGCGGAGGAACACCGAUGGCGAAGGCAAUCCCCUGGGCCUGUACUGACGCUCAUGCACGAAAGCGUGGGGAGCAAACAGGAUUAGAUACCCCCGUAGUCCCUGUCUCUUAUAC
Molecule: ribosomal RNA, 301 nt
Filed under: uncultured bacterium
Lineage: Bacteria
Description: partial 16S ribosomal RNA
Rfam family: Bacterial small subunit ribosomal RNA
Source: RNAcentral